UUUUUACUUUUGAUAUGAACUAUAAUAUAUGUAUAUACUAUUGUAUAUGUACUAGUGCACGCAAAAGACGCUUUUAUUGGAGUACAUACUUUGUGUUGUGCAUUGUGUAGUGUGGUAGAAAUAAAAAGAAGUAUAAGGAAAACGAAAUAUACGGAUCAAGUAAGAGAAACAUUUAAUUGCAUAAUGUACUGUUCUUGAUGUGUAAACUCUGGUUAUGGCUUUUUAAAAGAUCUCUUAUUGUUCUUUUAAUAUACUAUUCUUCCAUGCUCUGUACGUAUAUUAAAACGCUGAGGCAAAGUUACGUAUAAUUAUUUCUACGUAAUGAAUGAAAAUAUACAAAAUAAUAGGCUGAUUUCUUAGUAUAUAUCCUAAAAGAACACUAAUGAGAGUUUUCAAAGCACAAACCAGGAUAAAGAUUUGUAAACAUUUUUCUUCGAUAUUUAAGACCAGAUGAAAGAUUCAAGUGAAGAGUUAUUGCAGUUAUUAUCUGCGCAAAAAAUUUCAUCUCAUGAAACGAAAGAAAUUUAUACAAAUCAAGCAGCAUGUGAUGAUACUGGUUCAGAUAAUGGCAAUGCUUCCAAAACAGAAUUUAAGACUUCUGUAUCUCCAUUAUUUAGUCAUUAUAGAUACGGCUGUUCUUUUCUUCAUCAUGAUAAUUCUAUUAAUUUACCAAGUUUACCCACAUAUUUACCACCAAUUGGGGUAUUUUGGGACAUUGAAAAUUGUCAUGUUCCAAAAGGAAGAUCUGCUAUGGCUGUUACACAAGUGAUUAGAGAUAAAUUUUUUAGCGGUUAUCGAGAAGCAGAAUUUAUUGUUGUUUGUGAUGUUCAAAAAGAAAAUAAUCAUGUAAUGCAAGAAUUAAAUGAUGCACAGGUUAAUUUAAUACAUGUUGCCGCAACAUGUAAAAAUGCUGCUGAUGAAAAACUUAAACAGUCUAUCAGAAGAUUUGCUGAUAUUCAUGGUAGUCCAGCAGCAAUUAUUUUAAUAUCUGGAGAUAUUGACUUUGCUGCUGAUCUUAGUGAUUUAAGAUAUAGAAAAAAAAUUCAUGUGAUACUUCUUCAUAACAAAAGUACUUCAGAAGCAUUAAUAUUAUGUGCGAAUGAACAUUAUGAUUUUAUGGAUCUUAUGGAACCUCUGCCAUCUAGACCUUUAUUAAAGAUUAAUGAAUAUUAUGACCUAAUAAUAACUAAUCUUCCUGAAGAUAAGGAUGUUGUAGUUAUUAAACGACGUCUUCAAAAAAUGUCUGAUAAUUGCGGUGGUCGAGUAGUCAGAAUCAAAUUUAAAACUGCCAUUGUACGUUUUGCUUCAAAAACUUCUGCAAAAAGGGCUCAGAAACGUAUGGAUGGAGAAUAUGUUUUUGAUUCAAAGAUUUCGGUAAGAUUUUACAAGGAAACGGGAAACAGUAACAAUAAAAGUCAAGGAAAUUCCAUAACUCGAAAUCGUGCUCUAAGUGAAUCAGAAAUUAUAGCAAACUCUUUUAAGCAAAUGUAUAGUGCAAGUGCUUCAAUAGCGGGUGCACGAACCCUUCAAGUUCCACAUUAUCAAUCAUCAUCGCCUGUGGUAGGACCAUAUACUACUUGGACAGGAGUACCUUGUGCUUCGGGAAUGAUUCAACCACCACCAAUUUUUGUGGCUAGACCAUAUUCAGCGAGUAGUGAUGUAACAUUUAACAGGAGUUAUAAUGAAUUAACUAGAGUUCAAUCUCCAUUGAUUUGGCAAGUUGCUGGCUCCCAGCAUUUCAGUAAUUUAUGGGAAGACCAAUAUAAGCCGGAGAAAACAAAACUGUCAAGCAAACGAAUUCAUGCCCCUCAAGCAAGGGACAGUAGUGCGUCUAAUAGUACAAUAUCAAGAACACCAGAAUGUCUUAGACCUAUCAAAGGUGGUCACAGUUCAUUUAUUCAUGCUUCAGAAUGGGCAGUACAUUCUCAAACAAAUACUUUUAAACGUCGCAGUCCAUCUCCUAUGUAUGAAACUCAAAAACAUGAGCGAAAUAAUCAGUGGAAUGGACAAAAUCAACAUUCUGUAUUUAUACGUAAUACCAGAACACCUUCGCCAUAUGAAGGUACUAUGGUUCGAGUUAUAAACCAGCAAAAUAAUCAUUUCUCUCCGUACCAACAAAAUGAUUCAGAAAAUGAAGAAGUAGAAAAAUUUUUUCAUCCAAUUAAUCGUAAUGGAAAUGGUUCUACUAAUGGAAGUUAUACACCCAUUGAAUUACAAGUAAGCAAUUUAGAUCAGAACAUUGAUCCAAAGGAAAUGAAGCAUAUUCUUUCAACUAUUUUCAUGGAGCACGUAACAGUUUUGCACAUAUCUAUUUUUAUGCAAUCUGAUGGUAAUUAUGCAGCUAGUGUCAAAGUAGCUUCUUUGCCAGAUGCACAAUAUGCAAUUUCUCAAUUACAUCGUCGUAAAAUUGGAUAUAAACGUAUACUAAUAUCGUAUGCUCAUACUGGAGGUACAAAUCCACAACUUAUACGUGCACAGAUUGUAAUGCUUUUGCAAGAAGUACCAGGUCACAAAUUGCCACUUUUUAAAUUUAGAGAAAUGUAUGAAAGUCGUUUUAUGAUAUCUAUUAGUAUUUCUGAAUUGUAUAAAAUGAAGGAUGUAUGUAUUGUCACUGAAGAUAUUAAUGGGAGAAUGGUAUCUCUUAAUCCAGAUCAUAGAAAUACACCAUCUCCAUGUUUUAGUACUCCAACUCAGGAAGGAUAUGUAGAAUUACCGUAUUGUACUAGACAUACAUCAAAACCAUGGACUGAUAAAGGUUGGGCUGAGCAAGAAAUGGCAUCUCUGCCAAAUGUUAAUAUUUCUCUAAAAUUACUUGCCCCGCGUAUACAGCAAUUAUUAACUAUGCACAAUGGAAGUUUGCCACUACCAAGUUUGCCAAAUUGCUAUGCAGCUGAAUUUCAAGAACAUUUGAAAGUGAUAGAAAAUGGUGUACCAUUAGAACAUUUAGUAUCGUGUCUAUCUUUUGUUCAAUUAAAGCAAGGUAUUGGAAGUGUCAAAUACCUUAGUUGGGCUGUAGAUAAAGAUCACGAUGAUAGCCAUGAAGAAAAUAAGUGUGUUAGCCCUCCAUUAGCAAAUCAAUUGGCUUUGUUUAGCCGUGAAUUAGUAGACCUUUUGAAAACUGCUCCGCACUGCCAACUACCAUUUAAUCGAUUCAUUCCUGCUUAUCAUCACCAUUUUGGGAGACAAUGUAGAGUGGCUGAUUAUGGAUUCACCAAAUUAAUCGAUUUAUUAGAAGCACUUACACAUACUGUUCAAGUAAUGGGAGAAGGAAAUAAACGAGUAGUAACACUUUCUCAUCGUGCUCAAGUACGUCGUUUUACAUCAGAUCUAUUACGAGUAUUAAAAUCAAAAGCUAGUAAACAAGUAACACUUUCAGAAUUUCCAAAUGUUUAUAGUAGAGUGAUAGCCAAACCAUGGGAUAUUGUUGAUUAUGGUGUAUGUGAAAUAGAAGAUAUUCUUGGCGAAGUAUCAGAAAAUACAGUAGUUAUGACUGCAAUUAAUGGAGGCGAUAAAAUGAUAGCUAUCCCUAAACGUGAACAAACUCCAGAGGAAAUAGAGCGUACAAAACAAUUUGCAUUUGAGGUUGUAGAAUUAUUGAGACAUGUUCCUCAAUGUAAGAUGUUGUUUAAUAAAUUUGUGCCAUCUUAUCAUCAUCACUUUGGUCAUCAGUGUCGUGUAUCAGAUUAUGGAUUUACUAAAUUGAUAGAAUUGUUUGAAGCUAUACCAGACGUAGUGAAAAUUGAAGAUGGAAGCAAUGGUGAAAGACAAAUUAGUUUAACAGAAAAAGAGGGCUUGCGUGUUUUAAGUGAACAGAUAUCAAAGCUAGUAACUCAUUCAAAAAGUGGUCUUAGCGUUUCCCAUAUUGUUCAGAACUUUUUACGACAAUUUGGCUAUGCAUUACGUCCUGAAUUAUUUGGCUGUAAUUCUGUAUUACAACUCAUGCAAAAACUUGAUGAUAGUGUUAAGAUUAUAGAUUUAGCUACGGGACCAGUGGUUGUUGCAAUCGAUAAAUCUCACUUACAGCAGUUAGCUUUGCAAUGUCGUAGAGUAUUAAUGGAUCAACCCCAAUAUAAAAUGCCUAUACAAGAAUUUCAAAAGCAAUAUUCUCAAUAUUAUUCAAAAACUUGCAAUAUUGAAGAACUUAAAAAAGAUUUAUCUCAUGUUGUUCAGUUUAAAACAAUCAAUGAAGAAAAUUUUAUAGAACUAACUUCAUUAUAUUGCUUUGCAUGCAAUUUGUAUCGUGUUAUGAUGAGUUGUGAAGGUCAAUUAAAUCUUUCACGUUUUGAAGCUGCAUAUUUAGCAGUUAAUGGUUCUGCAUGUAGAGCUGCUCAAUAUGGUUUUCCAACAUUGACAGCUCUCUUGCAAGCAUUACCUUGUACCGUAAUAUUAAAGGAUACACGGAAAGAUAAACGAAAAAAGAAAGUAAUAUACCUUAAUAAAAAAUUAGCUGCUGUUGGUAUUGCAUUACCUUCCACGUAUGCAUCAGGUUCAUCAUAUCAUGAUACAGAUUCUAGCAAUGAGUCAUUUGAAAGCGAUUCUUCAUCGCGUAUAAAUGCCUCUAGUAAUGCUUCCACAUUAGAAGAAUAUGGAAAAUGGAUAACUCACGCAAUUAAUGGUCAUGGUUCUUGGAAACAAAAUGAAGACAAUCAUUUUUGGACACAAGAUUGUGAAAAACAUUGGAAAGUCUUAACGCAUUUAGAAGAACGAGCUAAUAAUUGGCCAUUAUUUGAAAAUAACAAUGAAGGUCUUAAAAAUUUUAUACAUACACCAACAAUCAUGCAGAACGAUUUUCCACCUCCUCCACCUAAGCCUGAUUCGCCACCUGAGGUGGAUAUAAGAACGAAUAAUCAAUGGAAGUCAUCAGUAUGGAUAGCACCGACAAAAAUUUUAUAUUCGCAAGAUGAACGAGUUACAAAUGUAAAUGUACCUCCAUUAACUUUACCUGCUUGGAAUCAAAUGUCUGAGGAUGAUAUAUUAAAUUUGUUAUCACCAACUAAAAACUUAUUACCAGCCGCUGCAAAUCCCCUAAAUCCGCGUACUUCGCCUUAUUAUUCAACCAAGCAUAAUCUAGUUGUAGCACCACAUCCAUCCGAAUUACCGCUACCGUCAUUGUCGCUAACACCGAAAAAAAACGCAUCUUCUGAAAGCAUUACAGUUACACGAGAUAGCAUAGAAAAACAAGAUGUUAAUUCUGACAAUGUUGGUGAUGUUUGUAAUACAGAAAAUUUCGAAAAAGAAAAUAAUCUUGGUAAUAGAAAGAAAAAUGAACUUCUCAAUACUCCUACUAAACCAUUAUUUACAGGAAAACGACGUUUGGCAGCUCAAUUCAAUCAACCUCUUCAAUCUUAAACAUAAAUUGAGACCUAUAACUCAAUCGAAUUCAGGCAAUCGUUUUAAUUUAAAGAUAUUGUUCAUUUGUGAUGCGCUUGCAUCCAAUGCAAGAUAUUCUUGUUCACAAACAAUAUACACGUUUAAGAUUUUAUCUCGCCGGUAGAUCGCUGCACAAUCAUUUGAGUACUUACACAUAAAACUAUCUUUUAGUCGAAUAAAAACAAAAACAGAAGUUAUUUUCAAAAUAUAUGAGCAUGUACAAUAUGUAACUACAGUUUCUAAAUUGAAAAUCUAAAAUGAGUGAGCAGCGUUUAUAUCGAAUGACACGUAUUUAUGGUAUUGCAUACAAAAGUCGUAGCAUUUUCCACACACUGUGAUAUAGAAUAAGAAGAAUGUGAAAAUAAUUGUACUAGCAAUAAAGGAAAUGUGCCUUCGCAAUGGCACUCUCUCGCAAGGUA
This 5789-nucleotide unclassified non-coding RNA is filed under the name Polistes canadensis. RNAcentral's name for it is "meiosis arrest female protein 1, transcript variant X3". Lineage: Eukaryota; Metazoa; Arthropoda; Insecta; Hymenoptera; Vespidae. The record is from RNAcentral.